AAAAAGUCAAACCAUGUAUUUCCGUGUACAACUUUAACUGUCCGUCUUAAUAAAAUUUUUUUAUAAUUCGUAUUUUCAUUAGUGUUAGAUGAUAAAACAUGAUUAAUAUUUUAUGUGUGGCUUGUCUUUUUAAUUUUUUUCAUAUUUUUUUCAAAUAAGACGGACAAGUCAAACGUUGGGCACGGAAAUUAGGGUUUGUCUUUUU
Oryza sativa Japonica Group (Japanese rice) is the source of this 205-nucleotide microRNA precursor. It matches the Rfam family "MIR812 microRNA precursor family". The record is from Rfam. NCBI's taxonomy places the organism in Eukaryota, Viridiplantae, Streptophyta, Magnoliopsida, Poales, Poaceae.